Molecule: ribosomal RNA, 757 nt
Filed under: uncultured organism
Description: SSU rRNA
Rfam family: Bacterial small subunit ribosomal RNA
Source: RNAcentral
AACGCUAGCCACAGGCUUAACACAUGCAAGUCGAGGGGCAUCAGGAAGAAAGCUUGCUUUCUUUGCUGGCGACCGGCGCACGGGUGAGUAACACGUAUCCAACCUGCCCUUUACUCGGGGAUAGCCUUUCGAAAGAAAGAUUAAUACCCGAUAGCAUAAUGAUUCCGCAUGGUUUCAUUAUUAAAGGAUUCCGGUAAAGGAUGGGGAUGCGUUCCAUUAGGUUGUUGGUGGGGUAACGGCCCACCAAGCCUUCGAUGGAUAGGGGUUCUGAGAGGAAGGUCCCCCACAUUGGAACUGAGACACGGUCCAAACUCCUACGGGAGGCAGCAGUGAGGAAUAUUGGUCAAUGGGCGCUAGCCUGAACCAGCCAAGUAGCGUGAAGGAUGAAGGCUCUAUGGGUCGUAAACUUCUUUUAUAUAAGAAUAAAGUGCAGUAUGUAUACUGUUUUGUAUGUAUUAUAUGAAUAAGGAUCGGCUAACUCCGUGCCAGCAGCCGCGGUAAUACGGAGGAUCCGAGCGUUAUCCGGAUUUAUUGGGUUUAAAGGGAGCGUAGGUGGACUGGUAAGUCAGUUGUGAAAGUUUGCGGCUCAACCGUAAAAUUGCAGUUGAUACUGUCAGUCUUGAGUACAGUAGAGGUGGGCGGAAUUCCGUGGUGUAGCGGUGAAAUGCUUAGAUAUCACGAAGAACUCCGAUUGCGAAGGCAGCUCACUGGACUGCAACUGACACUGAUGCUCGAAAGUGUGGGUAUCAAACAGGAU